RNAcentral lists this ribosomal RNA (378 nucleotides) under uncultured eukaryote. RNAcentral's name for it is "partial 18S ribosomal RNA". It matches the Rfam family "Eukaryotic small subunit ribosomal RNA", at positions 592 to 976 of the family's 1831-position model. The record is from RNAcentral.
CAAUAGCGUAUAUUAAAGUUGCUGCGGUUAAAAAGCUCGUAGUUGGAUCUCAGUUACGGACAAGUGGUUCUCCUUUCGGUGCUACUACUUGGGCCGGACCUAUUGCUGGUUCCUCCAAGGUCUCCUUCACUGGGUGCCUUGGUAGACCAGAGCGUUUACUUUGAAAAAAUUAGAGUGCUCAAAGCAGGCGAUUGCCUGAACAGUCGUGCAUGGAAUAAUGGCAAAUGGCCUCGGUGCUAUUUUGUUGGUUCUCGGUACUCGAGGUAAUGGUUGAAAGGGACAGACGGGGGCAUUCGUAUUGCGACGUUAGAGGUGAAAUUCUUAGAUCGUCGCAAGACGAACUACUGCGAAAGCAUUUGCCAAGAAUGUUUUCAUUAA